AGCUCCAAUAGCGUAUACUAAUGUUGUUGCAGUUAAAAAGCUCGUAGUCGGAUUUCAGUAGGCUCAGUUAAGUCUCUUCUAUUGAGUUCUUUAUGGGCCUGCUUCUUUGACAGAAACUUCUAUGUUAUUCAUUUAGCGUGGGUAGCGACUGUCUCUUUUACUUUGAGAAAAUUAGAGUGUUCAAAGCAGGUAUUCGCCUGAAUAUUACUCUUGGAAUAAUGCUAUAAGACUUUGGUUCUAAUGUAUUGGUGAUUGGGACCAGAGUAAUGAUUGAUAGGGACGGUUGGGGUCUUACGUACUGCAAAGCGAGAGGUGAAAUUCUUGGACCUUUGUAUGACGAACAACUGCGAAAGCAUUGGACUAGGACGUUCCCG
This 374-nucleotide ribosomal RNA is filed under the name uncultured eukaryote. RNAcentral's name for it is "SSU rRNA". It matches the Rfam family "Eukaryotic small subunit ribosomal RNA", at positions 587 to 972 of the family's 1831-position model. The record is from RNAcentral.